This is a long non-coding RNA of Falco peregrinus (peregrine falcon), 2168 nucleotides long. RefSeq lists it as uncharacterized. The record is from RefSeq and is a predicted model, not a curated record. The transcript has 5 exons. NCBI's taxonomy places the organism in Eukaryota, Metazoa, Chordata, Aves, Falconiformes, Falconidae.
AUAGAUGUUUGCUUAACUGGAAAUCCGCAAGAGCAGCUGCCCAGUGCAACGGUACAUAUUUGCUUCUGAAUCCUUUCUCAAAGGCACUAUUUAAACAUGUUGAUGAACUGAGCUGGAUUUCUCCCCACCUCCAUUCCAGCAAAACAAGGAGACUCAGAAGAUAAAACUUGUUUUGUUAUUGCAAGUAGUGCUAUGUGGUGCAGUGCACUUUGGGGAGACAGGCAAUACAUACUGAAUUACUGCUCCAUAUUCCAUGGUUAUAUAAUCUAGAUGGGAGCCAGCCACUAUUUAGGAUGAGAGAAAACACCUUGGGAGAGCAGUGCACAGGUAAAGGCAGGAGAGAACUGUAAUCCUGCACUGGAGUAUCCUGCAAAGAAAAGGAGCUGAAUUUUUUUCCAGGGCUUGGAAAGCAGCAUGUUAAUGUAUGCUGCAUGUCCUCCGGAAGGAAUCUAGCAUCCAUUGACCUCAGAGUGGCGGUGACCAGGCCGGGAGGAUGCUGUUCUAUUCCCAUAUCGUCAGUGCAGAGCAUGAACCUUUCAUGGAAGAGUAUCCAGACUCUGUUGGAGGUCUCCUUCCAGCCACCUGCCCUCAGAAGACCCCCAGACAAGCAUGAAUUUCCAGGCUCGUUUAACUGGCUCAGGCUGUUAGAAGAAUCAAACAAAAUCUUCACCAUUGGUAGUAUCUGGACAGCAAACACUGUGAUGAAAUGGCUUUCCACAGUUUCUACCCCCGAACCUUUGACUUAAAAUGGUCUGAUCCAUCUCAACAGUAUUUCUGGAUGUACUGGACUAAUAGUUCUGUUUCUUCACUUUCAUGCAUUGCUUUGGGCUUAUUAUACAAAUGUAUAACCUGGGUGCCACAGGUGUGGAGAAAAACUGCAGGCACGUAAAGAUGUAAUCAUGGAAUAACAGCGAGACAUUUUUAAUAGGAUUCAUGCAAUGCUUUAUAAUAGUGUGGCUCAAAAGAAACAAACACCAAAAGUUAUUUUCUUCAUCUGUCUUAACAAAAUUGCAAAUACAUUUGAAUUUGCCAAGAUUUUUUGAUUUAUGGAUGAUAAAUAUGAAACAGGCAAUAGAAGCUGCAAACAGGGCUUGAUCAUCCAUCAAACAGACAAACCUGAUGACCUGAGAAGGCUGCUGAUUUCAUCAGGGUUGUGUUUGUCUGCUUCUCCUAGUUUUCUUUCUUUCUGUGUGCAGUCACUUCUAUUUUCAACCAUUUGUGCAGCCUGUCUUGCAGUUAAAACUGGCAGAAACAGUUUCUGUAAAAUCAGUGAAGGAAUCAACAACGCAGCUCUCACUGACCUCUUUAAUUUAAUUUUGCCAUGUACUUCUGCCUACAGCCUGCAGCAUAAAAUAAAAACAUUUAAAGUUGAUCAGUCUGGGUACGCUCUCACAGCAUGUAGGUCACCCUAUCAGUUAUCCGGCAGGCCCUGACACAUAAGCUUCUCAGUUAAUAAACCUUGGGACUGUGUGGAUCAAUUUCAGCAUCCAAAGCCAAUGGAAAUAAAUCUUCAGCUAUUUUUAUUUAAAAUUUUAUUUUUUGCACCCUUUUCUCCACAGAGAAAGAUUAUAGAAAGAAUUCAUCACAAAAGUACAGAGAAAAACUCAAAAUACUGGCUCCCUUUAAGCAGCUGAAGAACUGUAUGGAACUAACCUUCAUCUCCUUCUAAGCCAAGACUCUCUAAUCUUUCAAAUCCAGUUCAACCUUAUUAUCAACUCACUUGGCAGAAUUAAUAUACUAACAUGGGCGCUUUGCCAAGGGUUUUUUUACAUUCAGCUUCUGUUAUGCCAAUUCAAUUACAAAUUAUUUCUUUACAAAGCUUAAUCAUAUAUAAUGAAUUAAUAUAAGCAAAAAGACCAAAGAAGAUAUGGUUGACUGCAUUACAGACUAAAGGGGUAAUUAGUCUUAUAAACCCGAGAGAAGAAUAUUAGUCACCUAUAUUUAUGCUGUGAUAGAUUCAAAUCUAGAUGGCACAUAGAAAAUGAAACAAUGAAACUCAUCCCAAUCUACUGCAAGUGAAGAUUGUUUCAUUUUCACACUGAAAUACUGAAAGUAAAUGGUGCUAAAUGGAAAUCUCUUAGUUCUGAUUUGGAUAAUAAAACAUUUAACCACUUCACCUGCUUAGCCUGGAACACGAAACGGGUUGUAACUUCCCCAUUUAACACCAA